ACUCGUGAACUGUGGGGCUUAAUAUCUCCCCCUGCAGAUCCGGGUGGCGGCAAUAGCCGCUUUACUGACUUACAAGGAG
This 79-nucleotide non-coding RNA is filed under the name unclassified sequences. The record is from Rfam.